UUACAGGCUUAACACAUGCAAGUCGAGGGGCAUCAGGAAGAAAGCUUGCUUUCUUUGCUGGCGACCGGCGCACGGGUGAGUAACACGUAUCCAACCUGCCCUUUACUCGGGGAUAGCCUUUCGAAAGAAAGAUUAAUACCCGAUAGCAUAAUGAUUCCGCAUGGUUUCAUUAUUAAAGGAUUCCGGUAAAGGAUGGGGAUGCGUUCCAUUAGGUUGUUGGUGAGGUAACGGCCCACCAAGCCUUCGAUGGAUAGGGGUUCUGAGAGGAAGGUCCCCCACAUUGGAACUGAGACACGGUCCAAACUCCUACGGGAGGCAGCAGUGAGGAAUAUUGGUCAAUGGGCGCUAGCCUGAACCAGCCAAGUAGCGUGAAGGAUGAAGGCUCUAUGGGUCGUAAACUUCUUUUAUAUAAGAAUAAAGUGCAGUAUGUAUACUGUUUUGUAUGUAUUAUAUGAAUAAGGAUCGGCUAACUCCGUGCCAGCAGCCGCGGUAAUACGGAGGAUCCGAGCGUUAUCCGGAUUUAUUGGGUUUAAAGGGAGCGUAGGUGGACUGGUAAGUCAGUUGUGAAAGUUUGCGGCUCAACCGUAAAAUUGCAGUUGAUACUGUCAGUCUUGAGUACAGUAGAGGUGGGCGGAAUUCGUGGUGUAGCGGUGAAAUGCUUAGAUAUCACGAAGAACUCCGAUUGCGAAGGCAGCUCACUGGACUGCAACUGACACUGAUGCUCGAAAGUGUGGGUAUCAAACAGGAUUAGAUACCCUGGUAGUCCACACAGUAAACGAUGAAUACUCGCUGUUUGCGAUAUACAGUAAGCGGCCAAGCGAAAGCAUUAAGUAUUCCACCUGGGGAGUACGCCGGCAACGGUGAAACUCAAAGGAAUUGACGGGGGCCCGCACAAGCGGAGGAACAUGUGGUUUAAUUCGAUGAUACGCGAGGAACCUUACCCGGGCUUAAAUUGCAGUGGAAUGAUGUGGAAACAUGUCAGUGAGCAAUCACCGCUGUGAAGGUGCUGCAUGGUUGUCGUCAGCUCGUGCCGUGAGGUGUCGGCUUAAGUGCCAUAACGAGCGCAACCCUUAUCUUUAGUUACUAACAGGUUAUGCUGAGGACUCUAGAGAGACUGCCGUCGUAAGAUGUGAGGAAGGUGGGGAUGACGUCAAAUCAGCACGGCCCUUACGUCCGGGGCUACACACGUGUUACAAUGGGGGGGUACAGAAGGCAGCUAGCGGGUGACCGUAUGCUAAUCCCAAAAUCCUCUCUCAGUUCGGAUCGAAGUCUGCAACCCGACUUCGUGAAGCUGGAUUCGCUAGUAAUCGCGCAUCAGCCACGGCGCGGUGAAUACGUUCCCGGGCCUUGUACACACCGCCCGUCAAGCCAUGGGAGCCGGGGGUACCUGAAGUACGUAACCGCAAGGAUCGUCCUAGGGUAAAACUGGUGACUGG
RNAcentral lists this ribosomal RNA (1436 nucleotides) under uncultured organism. RNAcentral describes it as "SSU rRNA". It matches the Rfam family "Bacterial small subunit ribosomal RNA". The record is from RNAcentral.